RNAcentral lists this ribosomal RNA (228 nucleotides) under uncultured fungus. RNAcentral describes it as "partial 18S ribosomal RNA". It matches the Rfam family "Eukaryotic small subunit ribosomal RNA", at positions 1045 to 1273 of the family's 1831-position model. Lineage: Eukaryota; Fungi. The record is from RNAcentral.
ACUAGGGAUCGGGCGAUGUUAUCUUUUUGACUCGCUCGGCACCUUACGAGAAAUCAAAGUCUUUGGGUUCUGGNGGGAGUAUGGUCGCAAGGCUGAAACUUAAAGAAAUUGACGGAAGGGCACCACCAGGAGUGGAGCCUNCGGCUUAAUUUGACUCNACACGGGGAAACUCACCAGGUCCAGACACAAUAAGGAUUGACAGAUUGAGAGCUCUUUCUGAUUUUGUGG